RNAcentral lists this ribosomal RNA (275 nucleotides) under uncultured bacterium. RNAcentral's name for it is "partial 16S ribosomal RNA". It matches the Rfam family "Bacterial small subunit ribosomal RNA", at positions 338 to 604 of the family's 1533-position model. The record is from RNAcentral.
CCUACGGGGGGCUGCAGUGGGGAAUCUUGCGCAAUGGACGAAAGUCUGACGCAGCCACGCCGCGUGAGUGAAGAAGGCCUUCGGGUUGUAAAGCUCUGUCGUGCGGGACGAAAAUCUUUACGGUGAAUAGCCGUAGAGACUGACGGUACCGCAAAAGGAAGCACCGGCUAACUUCGUGCCAGCAGCCGCGGUAAUACGAGGGGUGCAAGCGUUGCUCGGAAUUAUUGGGCGUAAAGGGUAGGUAGGUGGUCUCAUUUGUCUGGGGUGAAAGCCUU